ACAUGUGCGCGAGUCAUUGGGUCUUGAAUAGGCCCAAAGGCGUAAUGAAAGUGAAGGGCGGUUCGGCCGUCUGCCUUGGGAUCCCGUGAACCUCGCGUUCGCGGGCGCACCAAGGGCCCGUCCCGGUCGCCUCGUCGACGGGGCGGAGCAAGAGCGUACACGUUGGGACCCGAAAGAUGGUGAACUAUGCCUGGGCAGGACGAAGCCAGAGGAAACUCUGGUGGAGGUCCGCAGCGAUUCUGACGUGCAAAUCGAUCGUCAGACCUGGGUAGGGGCGAAAGACUAAUCGAACCAUCUAGUAGCUGGUUCCCUCCGAAGUUUCCCUCAGGAUAGCUGGCGCUCGGAGGAUGCAGUCUCAUCCGGUAAAGCGAAUGAUUAGAGGCCUUGGGGUCGAAAAGACCUCAACCUAUUCUCAAACUUUAAAUGGGUGAGAAGUCCGGUUUGCUCGACUGAAGCCCGGACGGCAACUUGGAUGCGAGUGCCAAGUGGGCCACUUUUGGUAAGCAGAACUGGCGCUGUGGGAUGAACCAAACGCCGGGUUAAGGGGCCCGAUGCGAGACGCUCAUGAGAUCCCAUGAAAGGUGUUGGUUGCUAUAGACAGCAGGACGGUGGCCAUGGAAGUCGGAAUCCGCUAAGGAGUGUGUAACAACUCACCUGCCGAAGCAACUAGCCCUGAAAAUGGAUGGCGCUUCAGCGUCGACCCCAUACCCGGCCGCCGCGGCCGAAAAGCCUCGUGUUUUAAGCCGCGGUGAGUAGGAGGGGCGCGGAGGCGAGCGUCGAAGGUGCCGGGCGUAAGCCCGCCUGGAGCCGCCUCCGGCGCAGAUCUUGGUGGUAGUAGCAAAUACUCAAGUGAGAACCUUGAGGACUGAGGUGGAGAAGGGUUCCAUGUGAACAGCAGUUGAACAUGGGUCAGUCGGUCCUAAGGGAUAGGAGAAAUCCGUUCCGAGGCGGGACCUCUAUCAAUUAUUGAAAGUCCCGCUGAUGACCGAAAGGGAAUCGGGUUAAUAUUCCCGAACCCGGACGCGGAGAUCGUCCUCUUCGGAGGUACAUUGCGGUAACGCAAACGAGCUCGGAGACGUCGACGGGAGCACCGGGAAGAGUUAUCUUUUCUUUGUAAGGAUUCGACUCCCUGGAAUCGGCUCGCCCGGAGAUAGGGAUGGUGUUUCCGUAAAGCACCGCGCCUCUUGCGGUGUCCGGAUCGCUCCCGUCGGCCCUUGAAAAUCCGAGUGAGAGAUAGUGAUUUUCGUGCCGGACCGUACCCAUAUCCGCAGC
Molecule: ribosomal RNA, 1272 nt
Filed under: Pantopsalis sp. MCZ IZ 133326
Lineage: Eukaryota; Metazoa; Arthropoda; Arachnida; Opiliones; Neopilionidae
Description: partial large subunit ribosomal RNA
Rfam family: Eukaryotic large subunit ribosomal RNA
Source: RNAcentral